This 450-nucleotide ribosomal RNA is filed under the name uncultured bacterium. RNAcentral describes it as "partial 16S ribosomal RNA". It matches the Rfam family "Bacterial small subunit ribosomal RNA", at positions 354 to 796 of the family's 1533-position model. The record is from RNAcentral.
GUGGGGAAUCUUCCGCAAUGGACGAAAGUCUGACGGAGCAACGCCGCGUGAGUGAUGAAGGUCUUCGGAUUGUAAAGCUCUGUUAAUCGGGACGAAAGAGCCUAGUGUGAAUAAUGCUAGGAAGUGACGGUACCGGAAUAGAAAGCCACGGCUAACUACGUGCCAGCAGCCGCGGUAAUACGUAGGUGGCAAGCGUUGUCCGGAAUUAUUGGACGUAAAGCGCGCGCAGGCGGAUCUGCCAGUCUGUCUUAAAAGUUCGGGGCUUAACCCCGUGAUGGGAUGGAAACUACAGAUCUAGAGUAUCGGAGAGGAAAGUGGAAUUCCUAGUGUAGCGGUGAAAUGCGUAGAUAUUAGGAAGAACACCAGUGGCGAAGGCGACUUUCUGGACGAAAACUGACGCUGAGGCGCGAAAGCCAGGGGAGCGAACGGGAUUAGAUACCCGGGUAGUCC